This 67-nucleotide transfer RNA is filed under the name Ostrea edulis (European flat oyster). Its description in RNAcentral is "tRNA-Val". The record is from RNAcentral. Lineage: Eukaryota; Metazoa; Mollusca; Bivalvia; Ostreida; Ostreidae.
UGGGGGAUAGUAUAAUACAUUACUUGGCGCUUACAACGUUAGAAUAGAGAGUAAACUCUUCCUCCUA